UGACGACGACGACGACGACAAUGGCGUCGGCCGGAUGCCCGCACCCCCGUUCGACGAUCCUGUACCCAGACCUGCCAUGCGAUCCCGACGUGUGUGCCAAGAGUUGCGCCAAGGGAUUGAACAACGGCAACGGCACCUGCAUGAGGCCGAUUGGAUGUGAUUGCGUGUUCUGCGUGCCAGAAACCGUCGCAAAACGCCCGGCUGUCUCUACGCGUAUGCUGUGCACUACUACCAUUUCGAUUUAAUUUCACGCAUUGAAGUAAUGAUCCAUCCACACUCUUGCUACUUUGUUUGUGUCGGAAAAUCCUACAGGUUUGACGACGACGACGACGACAAUGGCGUCGGCCGGAUGCCCGCACCCCCGUUCGACGAUCCUGUACCCAGACCUGCCAUGCGAUCCCGACGUGUGUGCCAAGAGUUGCGCCAAGGGAUUGAACAACGGCAACGGCACCUGCGUGAGGCCGAUUGGAUGUGAUUGCGUGUUCUGCGUGCCAGAAACCGUCGCAAAACGCCCGGCUGUCUCUACGCGUAUGCUGUGCACUACUACCAUUUCGAUUUAAUUUCACGCAUUGAAGUAAUGAUUCAUCCACACUCUUGCUACUUUGUUUGUGUCGGAAAUCCCACAGGUUUGACGACGACGACGACGACAAUGGCGUCGGCCGGAUGCCCGCACCCCCGUUCGACGAUCCUGUACCCAGACCUGCCCUGCGAUCCCGACGUGUGUGCCAAGAGUUGCGCCAAGGGAUUGAACAACGGCAACGGCACCUGCGUGAGGCCGAUUGGAUGUGAUUGCGUGUUCUGCGUGCCAACAGCCGGCCAAGCUGCACGUACAACGUAGCUACCCCGAUUUGGACCCGGCGUUCGCGAGUUUUUUUUUACAAGAGCAAUGGCGGAGAUGUAGUUAAUAAUCAUGUACUAGCAGCACUAUAGUUUCGAGCAGAGAAGACUGUGGAAUCUUUGCGUCAGAAGAUAUAUAGCCGUGAGAUUGAAAGCUGAGUUCUUUUAUAUUUUGAACGUAAUGGCAAGAACUCUAACUUUUGAUGAAGAAUAAGAAAUAGAAUUGACUCGGUUUUAAAGAAAAACUGGGUCCAAAAU
This 1095-nucleotide long non-coding RNA is filed under the name Zea mays. RNAcentral describes it as "long non-coding RNA (ZMAY_LNC003508)". The record is from RNAcentral. Lineage: Eukaryota; Viridiplantae; Streptophyta; Magnoliopsida; Poales; Poaceae.